RNAcentral lists this transfer RNA (92 nucleotides) under Haemonchus contortus (barber pole worm). Its description in RNAcentral is "tRNA, Pseudo". Lineage: Eukaryota; Metazoa; Nematoda; Chromadorea; Rhabditida; Trichostrongylidae. The record is from RNAcentral.
UUCCUGACCCAGGGGUCGAACCCCGCAUCUCCUGCAUUGCAGGCGGUCUCCUGCAUUGCAGGCAGAUUCUCUACCAACUGAGCCACCAUGGA